UGGCCAGACUCCUACGGGAGGCAGCAGUGGGGAAUAUUGCGCAAUGGGCGAAAGCCUGACGCAGCGACGCCGCGUGAGGGAUGAAGGUCUUCGGAUCGUAAACCUCUGCCAGCAGGGAAGAACGGUCACUGUGCUAAUCAGCAGUGAAUUGACGGUACCUGCAAAGGAAGCACCGGCUAACUACGUGCCAGCAGCCGCGGUAAUACGUAGGGGGCAAGCGUUAUCCGGAUUUACUGGGUGUAAAGGGAGCGUAGACGGCAAUACAAGUCGGAAGUGAAAUACCCGGGCUCAACCUGGGAACUGCUUUGGAAACUGUAUGGCUAGAGUGCUGGAGAGGUAAGCGGAAUUCCUAGUGUAGCGGUGAAAUGCGUAGAUAUUAGGAGGAACACCAGUGGCGAAGGCGGCUUACUGGACAGUAACCGACGUUGAGGCUCGAAAGCGUGGGGAGCAAACAGGAUUAGAUACCCUCGUA
Molecule: ribosomal RNA, 472 nt
Filed under: uncultured bacterium
Lineage: Bacteria
Description: bacterial SSU rRNA
Rfam family: Bacterial small subunit ribosomal RNA
Source: RNAcentral